RNAcentral lists this ribosomal RNA (253 nucleotides) under uncultured bacterium. RNAcentral's name for it is "partial 16S ribosomal RNA". It matches the Rfam family "Bacterial small subunit ribosomal RNA", at positions 524 to 776 of the family's 1533-position model. The record is from RNAcentral.
GACGAACCGUGCGAACGUUGUUCGGAUUCACUGGGCUUAAAGGGCGCGUAGGCGGGCGACCAAGUCGGGGGUGAAAUCUUUUGGCCCAACCGGAAAAGUGCCCCCGAUACUGGCCGCCUCGAGGGGGGUAGGGGCAUGCGGAACUUCCGGUGGAGCGGUGAAAUGCGUAGAUAUCGGAAGGAACGCCGGUGGCGAAAGCGGCGUGCUGGACCCCUUCUGACGCUGAGGCGCGAAAGCCAGGGGAGCAAACGGG